AGUGUCGGGGAGAACACUUCAUGUGACAUGGUGUCCAGUGUGAAGGAGGAUGUCAGCAGACUUCAAAUCACUAACGUGACAUUGGAUCUCCAAGGACUGGACCUGUGCUGCUGGAAGUGUCUGCUGGGGUUAGACUGUCUCUUCCCGUUCUGCCAAAUGUUGGCGUAAGAUGGAAUAAACUUCUUCCCCAUUGCUGUUCUCCUGAUACACAAGUCUCAUUUAAUGUUUUUGUCGG
Amblyraja radiata (thorny skate) is the source of this 235-nucleotide long non-coding RNA. RefSeq lists it as uncharacterized. The transcript is spliced from 3 exons. Lineage: Eukaryota; Metazoa; Chordata; Chondrichthyes; Rajiformes; Rajidae. The record is from RefSeq and is a predicted model, not a curated record.